This 253-nucleotide ribosomal RNA is filed under the name uncultured bacterium. Its description in RNAcentral is "partial 16S ribosomal RNA". It matches the Rfam family "Bacterial small subunit ribosomal RNA", at positions 524 to 776 of the family's 1533-position model. The record is from RNAcentral.
UACAGAGGGGGCAAGCGUUGUUCGGAAUUACUGGGCGUAAAGGGCGCGUAGGCGGCCUGUUAAGUCGAACGUGAAAUCCCCGGGCUCAACCCGGGAACUGCGUCCGAUACUGGCAGGCUUGAAUUCGGGAGAGGGAUGCGGAAUUCCAGGUGUAGCGGUGAAAUGCGUAGAUAUCUGGAGGAACACCGGUGGCGAAGGCGGCAUCCUGGACCAACACUGACACUGAGGAGCGAAAGCCAGGGGAGCAAACGGG